GAAUCCGGUUGUUUAAAGCCCCAGGGUGCCCUCAGCAAGUGGCUUCAAUAGGGCUUCGCUGAACGAUCCCCAUCCUCGCGUGUCCUGGGCUGGUGGCUGAAGUAGGCGGGCGCGAAAAAGUGAUGGGUUACCCGGACUGCGUGCUGGACCUGCGUGCCUCGGGACACUAGGAAGGGAAGGGGAAUUUGCCACUUUGCGGGGGAAGGAGGAGGAAGAGAGAGCAGAAAUGCGAAGCGGGGUGGGGGGGCUCCCCAAGAAGAAAACAGAAAGGAGGAGGAAGAAAGCGAGCGAGAGCAACCCCACCCUUCGAAAAGGUCGCUAUCCUUAAGAAAGCAGACACGGGGUCCCCUGACCCCUGCGGGAAACGCCCCAGCGUGGAACGCGCAACCCUGGCGCUGCCUGCCCUGCCACUCGUGGCCCCCGCCCUGAGGAGCCGGGUGCGCGGGUGCGCAAGCAGGUGACUUUAUUCACUGUUUCCCCAAUCGGCGAGGUCCCGGGACUCGUUUUCCGCCUGGAGAUUAAGAUCAUUGCUCGCGUAAUGAACUUAAUGCUUUAGGGUAGAGCUCUGCCUUGGGAGAGAAUGCGACGGACUCGUUGUCAGGAAGAUUGGACCAAAAGCAGAUAGUCUCCCCAACCCCUCCCCCCGCUCCUCCCCGCCAUCAGCGACUCCCUCAAGGGGCGAUUUCCCACACUCUACACCGCCCUGUCCUGGGCCUUGGGAUUCCCAACCUCGUGUAGACUCUGCACCUGGCUACCUAAGUGCCACGGGAUGCCCCACAGUCAAGUGGGUGAGGGGUGGUCAGGGAGAGGGGAGUGAAACGGGGCGACAUGCCGGGCCACACAAGGCACCCCACGACCCAGUUCCACGCCACUCCACCCGGCGUCCAAGCGCCUACCAGGGAGCUCCGCAUCGUCAGGUUUUUACUGUCUAUACAUCCGAGGGCCUGCUGGGAUCCGAAAGGCUGGGGAAAGUCUGCAAAGGCUUUAAAGUGAUCCCGAGGAGCUCCUACCUAAGGCGUUGAGUGCUGCCCACGGCUCCCCCACUGCGCCUGGCGGGUGCUGCCCUGGUCCCAAGUGCCCCCAGGCCCCAAGCUCUCGCAGUCCCUCCCGCUCCCAGAGUCGCGGCAGGACUGACCCAAGAGUCCACCAAGAAGCCUCUAGCCCACCGAGUCGAGCUGUUCGGAGGGAACGGGGCCCGGAGUCCCCCAGGAGGUGCCUCUCCACAACCUUCUGCGCUGACACAGGGUCGCCUCGUCUCCAGAGACGAAGUCUGCAGCCCCCUUAGACUUGACUUUUCAGUUGGGUUGGGGAGGGGAUAGGAGG
RNAcentral lists this long non-coding RNA (1323 nucleotides) under Bos mutus (wild yak). Its description in RNAcentral is "lncRNA (ENSBMUG00000020168.1)". Lineage: Eukaryota; Metazoa; Chordata; Mammalia; Artiodactyla; Bovidae. The record is from RNAcentral.